AACGCUGGCGGUAUGUUUAAGACAUGUAAGACGCACGGAAUCAUUUUGGUAGGAAUACUCGAAUGGUUUAGUGGCGCACGGGUGAGUAACACGUGAAUUACAUGCCCUUCAGUGGGGAAUAGCCCAGGGAAACUUGGAUUAAUACCCCAUGGUCUCGCAAGAGUAAAGGUGGCGUAAGCUGCCGCUGAAGGAUUGGUUCGCGCCCUAUCAGCUUGUUGGUGAGGUAACGGCUCACCAAGGCUACGACGGGUACCUGGUCUGAGAGGACGAUCAGGCACACUGGAACUGAGACACGGUCCAGACACCUACGGGUGGCAGCAGUCGAGAAUAAUUCACAAUGGGGGCAACCCUGAUGGUGCAACGCCGCGUGGAGGAUGACGGUCUUCGGAUUGUAAACUCCUGUCAUCUGGGAGAAAGACCUGGGAGUUAAUAGCUCACAGGGUUGAUAGUACCAGAAGAGGAAGGGACGGCUAACUUCGUGCCAGCAGCCGCGGUAAUACGAAGGUCCCAAGCGUUGUUCGGAAUCACUGGGCGUAAAGGGAGCGUAGGCGGCGCGGUAAGUCAGAUGUGAAAUCCCGGGGCUCAACCCCGGAACUGCAUCCGAUACUGCCGUGCUUGAGCAAUGGAGAGGUAGCUGGAAUUCUCGGUGUAGCAGUGAAAUGCGUAGAUAUCGAGAGGAACACUCGUGGCGAAAGCGAGCUACUGGACAUUUGCUGACGCUGAGGCUCGAAGGCUAGGGGAGCGAAAGGGAUUAGAUACCCCUGUAGUCCUAGCAGUAAACGGUGCACGCUUGGUGUGAGGGGAUUCGACCCCCCUUGUGCCGGAGCUAACGCGUUAAGCGUGCCGCCUGGGAAGUACGGUCGCAAGACUAAAACUCAAAGAAAUUGACGGG
This 892-nucleotide ribosomal RNA is filed under the name uncultured bacterium. Its description in RNAcentral is "bacterial SSU rRNA". It matches the Rfam family "Bacterial small subunit ribosomal RNA", at positions 32 to 917 of the family's 1533-position model. The record is from RNAcentral.